This 220-nucleotide unclassified non-coding RNA is filed under the name plant metagenome. RNAcentral describes it as "partial contains small subunit ribosomal RNA and internal transcribed spacer 1". The stretch from base 1 to 46 matches the Rfam family "Eukaryotic small subunit ribosomal RNA", at positions 1786 to 1831 of the family's 1831-position model. The record is from RNAcentral.
AAGUCGUAACAAGGUCUCCGUAGGUGAACCUGCGGAGGGAUCAUUAGAAAACGAGUUGCGAGACUCGAAAACCAUCGCGAACAUCACCUCGUCGUCGUUGCUUCGGCGGGCGGCCCCGCGAAGGGGGCCCGCAAGGCCCGCGAGGGCGCCCGCCGGAGGAGCGUGAACACUCUGUUUUCUUAGCGCCUCUCUGAGUGGAUACAGCGAAAAUGAAUCAAAA